Molecule: ribosomal RNA, 524 nt
Filed under: Enterocloster clostridioformis
Lineage: Bacteria; Bacillati; Bacillota; Clostridia; Lachnospirales; Lachnospiraceae
Description: bacterial SSU rRNA
Source: RNAcentral
GAACAUGAGAGUUUGAUCCUGGCUCAGGAUGAACGCUGGCGGCGUGCCUAACACAUGCAAGUCGAACGAAGCGAUUAAGAUGAAGUUUUCGGAUGGAAUCUUGAUUGACUGAGUGGCGGACGGGUGAGUAACGCGUGGAUAACCUGCCUCACACUGGGGGAUAACAGUUAGAAAUGACUGCUAAUACCGCAUAAGCGCACAGUGCCGCAUGGCAGUGUGUGAAAAACUYYGGUGGUGUGAGAUGGAUCCGCGUCUGAUUAGCCAGUUGGCGGGGUAACGGCCCACCAAAGCGACGAUCAGUAGCCGACCUGAGAGGGUGACCGGCCACAUUGGGACUGAGACACGGCCCAAACUCCUACGGGAGGCAGCAGUGGGGAAUAUUGCACAAUGGGCGAAAGCCUGAUGCAGCGACGCCGCGUGAGUGAAGAAGUAUUUCGGUAUGUAAAGCUCUAUCAGCAGGGAAGAAAAUGACGGUACCUGACUAAGAAGCCCCGGCUAACUACGUGCCAGCAGCCGCGGUAAUA